Molecule: ribosomal RNA, 567 nt
Filed under: uncultured bacterium
Lineage: Bacteria
Description: bacterial SSU rRNA
Rfam family: Archaeal small subunit ribosomal RNA
Source: RNAcentral
AAUAGAUACCCUGGUAGUCCCAGCCGUAAACGAUGCUCGCUAGGGUGUCAGGCAUGGCGCGACCGUGUCUGGUGCCGCAGGGGAAGCCGUGAAGCGAGCCACCUGGGAAGUACGGCCGCAAGGCUGAAACUUAAAGGGAAUUGGCGGGGGGAGCACAACAACGGGUGGAGCCUGCGGUUUAAUUGGACUCAACGCCGGACAACUCACCGGGGGACGACAGCAAUAUGUAGGCCAGGCUAAAGACCUUGCCUGAAUCGCUGAGAGGAGGUGCAUGGCCGUCGCCAGUUCGUACUGUGAAGCAUCCUGUUAAGUCAGGCAACGAGCGAGCCCCGUAAAAAAAAAAAAGCCCGACUGUUACCAGCAUGGUCCUCCGGGACGAUGGGGUACUCUGUGGGGACCGCCGAUGUUAAAUCGGAGGAAGGUGCGGGCUACGGUAGGUCAGUAUGCCCCGAAUUUCCCGGGGCUACACGCGGGCUACAAUGAAUGGGACAAUGGGUCCCUACCCCGGAGAGGGGUUGGUAAUCUCCCGAAACCCCAUCCAUAGUUCGGAUCGAGGGCUGUAACUCG